GGGCUCGCUUUGGCAGCACAUAUACUAAAAUUGGAACAAUGUAGAGAAGAUUAGCAUGGCCCCUGCGCAAGGAUAACAUGCAAAUUGGAGAAGCAUUCCAUAUUUUU
Molecule: small nuclear RNA, 107 nt
Filed under: Suricata suricatta (meerkat)
Lineage: Eukaryota; Metazoa; Chordata; Mammalia; Carnivora; Herpestidae
Source: RNAcentral